CAGCCGCCGCGGUAAUACCAGCACCUCAAGUGGCAAUCGUGUAUUUGGCCUAAAGCGUCCGUAGCCGGCGCUGUACAUCUUUUGUGAAAUCGUUGAGCUCAACUUAACGGCGUGCAGAAGACACGGCAGUGCUUGAGACCGGGAGGAGUCAGAGGUAUUCUUGGGGGAGCGGUAAAAUGCUAUAAUCCCUGGAGGACCACCAGUGGCGAAGGCGUCUGACCAGAACGGAUCUGACGGUGAGGGACGAAAGCCAGGGGAGCGAACCGGAUUAGAUACAUCUUUUGCGAAAAGCUGUACCAAAAGCAGUCAAGUACGACAUUCGCGAUGCGAAGUCGUACGAACUAUGUUCGUAACAAAAUCUACUAUAGUUUGAUAUGCUUUCAUUAUGCGCAAACAGAUGCUAAUUACCCGAGUAGUCCUGGCCGUAAACGCUGUGAACUAGGUGUUGCCUAUUCUACAGGAAUGGGCAGUGUCGAAACGAAGGUGUUAAGUUCACCGCCUGGGAAGUACGGUCGCAAGACUGAAACUUAAAGGAAUUGGCGGGAGAGCACUACAAGGGGUGCGGCGUGCGGUUUAAUCUAACUCAACGCAGAGAACCUUACCAGCAGCGACAGCAGAAUGAAGGUCAGUCUGAAGGGCUUACCUGACGCGCUGAGAGGUAGUGCAUGGCCGCCGUCAGCUCGUGCCGUAAGGUGUCCUCUUAAGUGAGGCAACGAGCGAGACCUGUGCCUGCAAUUGCUAGCAGCCACAUAGUGGGACUGAGAAUAUUGCAGGGACUGCCUUGGAAACAAGGAGGAAGGUGCAGGCUACGGUAGGUCUGUAUGCUCCUAAUCCGCUGGGCUACACGCGCGCAACAAUGGUAACGACAAUGGGAUGCCCCCCUGAAAAGGAAGCUAAUCCUCGAAACGUAUCCAAGUCCGAAUUGAGGGUUGCAAC
Molecule: ribosomal RNA, 936 nt
Filed under: uncultured archaeon
Lineage: Archaea
Description: bacterial SSU rRNA
Rfam family: Archaeal small subunit ribosomal RNA
Source: RNAcentral